RNAcentral lists this ribosomal RNA (239 nucleotides) under uncultured bacterium. Its description in RNAcentral is "partial 16S ribosomal RNA". It matches the Rfam family "Bacterial small subunit ribosomal RNA", at positions 524 to 762 of the family's 1533-position model. The record is from RNAcentral.
UGCAGAGGGGGCAAGCGUUAUUCGGAAUUACUGGGCGUAAAGCGCACGUAGGCGGUCUGUUAAGCUGGAUGUGAAAGCCCCGGGCUCAACCUGGGAAUUGCACUCAGAACUGGCAGGCUAGAGUACGGUAGAGGUGAGUGGAAUUUCCUGUGUAGCGGUGAAGUGCGUAGAUAUAGGAAGGAACAUCAGUGGCGAAGGCGACUCACUGGACUGAUACUGACGCUGAGGUGCGAAAGCGU